UUGCACGGUGUCAGGGGAGAAGCAGUG
This 27-nucleotide non-coding RNA is filed under the name Rattus norvegicus (Norway rat). The record is from RNAcentral. Lineage: Eukaryota; Metazoa; Chordata; Mammalia; Rodentia; Muridae.